RNAcentral lists this ribosomal RNA (118 nucleotides) under Anolis carolinensis (green anole). Lineage: Eukaryota; Metazoa; Chordata; Lepidosauria; Squamata; Anolidae. The record is from RNAcentral.
UCUUAUUUGUCUCUUCUGUAAAGGUACCAGAUCUCAUCUGAUCUUGGAAGCUAAGUAAGGUCAUCCCUGGUUAGUACAUGGUUGGGAGACCAGCAACAAAUACCAGGUGCUGUAGGCU